Molecule: ribosomal RNA, 497 nt
Filed under: uncultured bacterium
Lineage: Bacteria
Description: partial 16S ribosomal RNA
Rfam family: Bacterial small subunit ribosomal RNA
Source: RNAcentral
GACGAACGCUGGCGGCGUGCCUAAUACAUGCAAGUUGAGCGCUGAAGGUUGGUACUUGUACCAACUGGAUGAGCAGCGAACGGGUGAGUAACGCGUGGGGAAUCUGCCUUUGAGCGGGGGACAACAUUUGGAAACGAAUGCUAAUACCGCAUAAAAACUUUAAACACAAGUUUUAAGUUUGAAAGAUGCAAUUGCAUCACUCAAAGAUGAUCCCGCGUUGUAUUAGCUAGUUGGUGAGGUAAAGGCUCACCAAGGCGAUGAUACAUAGCCGACCUGAGAGGGUGAUCGGCCACAUUGGGACUGAGACACGGCCCAAACUCCUACGGGAGGCAGCAGUAGGGAAUCUUCGGCAAUGGACGAAAGUCUGACCGAGCGACGCCGCGUGAGUGAAGAAGGUUUUCGGAUCGUAAAACUCGGUUGGUAGAGAAGAACGUUGGUGAGAGUGGAAAGCUCAUCAAGUGACGGUAACUACCCAGAAAGGGACGGCUAACUACGUG